This 297-nucleotide ribosomal RNA is filed under the name uncultured Pseudomonadota bacterium. RNAcentral's name for it is "uncultured proteobacterium partial 16S ribosomal RNA". It matches the Rfam family "Bacterial small subunit ribosomal RNA", at positions 29 to 351 of the family's 1533-position model. The record is from RNAcentral. Lineage: Bacteria; Pseudomonadati; Pseudomonadota.
AACGAACGCUGGCGGCAGGCCUAACACAUGCAAGUCGAACGGGUACCUUCGGGUACUAGUGGCGGACGGGUGAGUAACGCGUGGGAACGUGCCCUUUGGUUCGGAAUAGCCCUGGGAAACUGGGAGUAAUACCGGAUGUGCCCUUCGGGGGAAAGAUUUAUCGCCAAAGGAUCGGCCCGCGUUGGAUUAGGUAGUUGGUGGGGUAAUGGCCUACCAAGCCGACGAUCCAUAGCUGGUUUGAGAGGAUGAUCAGCCACACUGGGACUGAGACACGGCCCAGACUCCUACGGGAGGCAG